This 468-nucleotide ribosomal RNA is filed under the name uncultured bacterium. RNAcentral describes it as "partial 16S ribosomal RNA". It matches the Rfam family "Bacterial small subunit ribosomal RNA", at positions 28 to 507 of the family's 1533-position model. The record is from RNAcentral.
GACGAACGCUGGCGGCGUGCUUAACACAUGCAAGUCGAACGGAAAGGCCCUGCUUUUGUGGGGUGCUCGAGUGGCGAACGCGUGAGUAACACGUGAGUAACCUGCCCUUGACUUUGGGAUAACUUCAGGAAACUGGGGCUAAUACCGUAUAGGAGCUCCUGUUGCAUGGUGGGGGUUGGAAAGUCUCGGCGGUUGGGGAUGGACUCGCGGCUUAUCAGCUUGUUGGUGGGGUAGUGGCUUACCAAGGCUUUGACGGGUAACCGGCCUGGGAGGUUGACCGGACACCUUGGGACUGCGAUACGCCCCAGUCGGCUACGUGAGGCAGCGGUGGCAAAUAUUGUACAAUGAGCGGAAGCCUGAUGCAGCAGCGCCGGGUGCGGGAAGACGGCUUUCGGGUUGUAAACCGCUUUCGCCUGUGACGACGCGUGAGUGACGGUAAUGGGUAAAGAAGCACCGGCUAACUACGUG